RNAcentral lists this ribosomal RNA (253 nucleotides) under uncultured bacterium. RNAcentral describes it as "partial 16S ribosomal RNA". It matches the Rfam family "Bacterial small subunit ribosomal RNA", at positions 524 to 776 of the family's 1533-position model. The record is from RNAcentral.
UACGUAGGGUGCGAGCGUUAAUCGGAAUUACUGGGCGUAAAGCGUGCGCAGGCGGCGCGUUAAGACAGGUGUGAAAGCCCCGAGCUUAACUUGGGAAUUGCGCCUGUGACUGGCGAGCUGGAGUGUGGCAGAGGGAGGUGGAAUUCCACGUGUAGCAGUGAAAUGCGUAGAGAUGUGGAGGAACACCGAUGGCGAAGGCAGCCUCCUGGGCCAGCACUGACGCUCAUGCACGAAAGCGUGGGGAGCAAACAGG